RNAcentral lists this ribosomal RNA (468 nucleotides) under uncultured bacterium. RNAcentral's name for it is "partial 16S ribosomal RNA". It matches the Rfam family "Bacterial small subunit ribosomal RNA", at positions 28 to 507 of the family's 1533-position model. The record is from RNAcentral.
GACGAACGCUGGCGGCGUGCUUAACACAUGCAAGUCGAACGGAAAGGCCCUGCUUUUGUGGGGUGCUCGAGUGGCGAACGGGCGAGUAACAUGUGUGUAACCUGCCCUUGACUUUGGGAUAACUUCAGGAAACUGGGGCUAAUAUCGGAUAGGCGCUCCUGCUGUAUGGUGGGGGUUGGAUAGUUUCGGCGGUUGGGGCUGGGCUCGCGGCUUAUCAGCUUGUUGGUGGGGUAGUGGCUUACCAAGGCUUUGACGGAUAGCCGGCCUGACUGGGUGACCGGCCACAUUGGGACUGAGAUGCGGCCCAGACUCCUACUGGAGGCAGCAGUGGGGAAUAUUGCACAAUGGGCGGAAGCCUGAUGCAGCAACGCCGCGUGCGGGAUGACGGCCUUCGGGUUGUAAACCGCUUUCGCCUGUGACGAAGCGUGAGUGACGGUAAUGGGUAAAGAAGCACCGGCUAACUACGUG